Molecule: long non-coding RNA, 749 nt
Organism: Balaenoptera musculus (blue whale)
Lineage: Eukaryota; Metazoa; Chordata; Mammalia; Artiodactyla; Balaenopteridae
Exons: 4
Source: RefSeq, a predicted model, not a curated record
CAACUUUAGAAAAGUUGCAGCAGAAAAAAAUCAGCACGCAAAAAUCGGUUGCAUUUCUAUACACAAUGAACAACGUCAACAGAAAAUUAGAGAACAAUACUAUUUACUAUACCAUCAAAAGGGAUAGAAUACUUAGGAAAUACUAGUGAAGGAGGUGAAAGACUUGUACUCUGAACACUACUAAACGUUGCUAAAAGAAGUCCAUGCAGACACAAAUAAAUUAAAAGACACCUUGUACUCAUGGAUUGAAAGACUUAGGAUUCUUAAAAUGACCAUAUUACCGAAUAUGUUCUAUAGAUGCAAUGGAAUCCCUAUUAAAAUUUCAGUGGCAAUUUUUGCAGUAAUAGAAAAAAAUCUUGUGAAAAUUUCUAUAGCAUCUCAAGGGACCCCAAAUAGCCAAAAUAGUCUUCAAAAAGGAAUUGGAGGCUGACAUUUUUAGAUUUCAAAAUUCAUUACAUUUUGUAAUUACAAAGUAAUCAAGAUGAUGUGGUACUGGCAUAAACACAGCUACAUAAACCAGUGGAGCAGAUGAGAAAACUAAGAAAUAACCCUUGGUAAAUACAAAAAAUGUACUGGCAAGGAUGCCAAGACUACACAAAGAGGAAAGGACAGUCUCAAUAAGAAAUGGUACUGAGAAAAUAGAUACCUACUAGCAAAAGAAUGAACCUGGUGGGGGUGGACUUCCCUCGUGGUCCAGUGGUUAAGAAUCAGUCUUGCAAUGCAGGGGACGCCAGUUCGAUCCCGAUCAG